UAUUGGGCGUAAGAGCUCGUAGGCGGUUUGUCGCGUCUGCCGUGAAAGUCCGGGGCUUAACUCCGGAUCUGCGGUGGGUACGGGCAGACUUGAGUGAUGUAGGGGAGACUGGAAUUCCUGGUGUAGCGGUGAAAUGCGCAGAUAUCAGGAGGAACACCGAUGGCGAAGGCAGGUCUCUGGGCAUUAACUGACGCUGAGGAGCGAAAGCAUGGGGAGCGAACAGGAUUAGAUACCCUGGUAGUCCAUGCCGUAAACGUUGGGCACUAGGUGUGGGGGACAUUCCACGUUUUCCGCGCCGUAGCUAACGCAUUAAGUGCCCCGCCUGGGGAGUACGGCCGCAAGGCUAAAACUCAAAGGAAUUGACGGGGGCCCGCACAAGCGGCGGAGCAUGCGGAUUAAUUCGAUGCAACGCGAAGAACCUUACCAAGGCUUGACAUGAACCGGAACGGCGCAGAGAUGUGUCGGCCACUUGUGGCCGGUUUACAGGUGGUGCAUGGUUGUCGUCAGCUCGUGUCGUGAGAUGUUGGGUUAAGUCCCGCAACGAGCGCAACCCUCGUUCCAUGUUGCCAGCGGGUUAUGCCGGGGACUCAUGGGAGACUGCCGGGGUCAACUCGGAGGAAGGUGGGGACGACGUCAAAUCAUCAUGCCCCUUAUGUCUUGGGCUUCACGCAUGCUACAAUGGCCGGUACAAAGGGUUGCGAUGCUGUGAGGUGGAGCUAAUCCCAAAAAGCCGGUCUCAGUUCGGAUUGAGGUCUGCAACUCGACCUCAUGAAGUCGGAGUCGCUAGUAAUCGCAGAUCAGCAACGCUGCGGUGAAUACGUUCCCGGGGCCUUGUACACACCGCCCGUCAAGUCACGAAAGUUGGUAACACCCGAAGCCGGUGGCCUAACCCUUUUGGGGGGGAGCCGUCGAAGUGGGACCG
RNAcentral lists this ribosomal RNA (922 nucleotides) under Arthrobacter sp. Its description in RNAcentral is "bacterial SSU rRNA". It matches the Rfam family "Bacterial small subunit ribosomal RNA", at positions 552 to 1470 of the family's 1533-position model. Lineage: Bacteria; Bacillati; Actinomycetota; Actinomycetes; Micrococcales; Micrococcaceae. The record is from RNAcentral.